UGAGGAAUAUUGGUCAAUGGGCGGGAGCCUGAACCAGCCAAGUCGCGUGAGGGAAGACGGCCCUAUGGGUUGUAAACCUCUUUUGCCGGGGAGCAAAGCGCCGCACGUGUGUGGCUUGGAGAGUACCCGGAGAAAAAGCAUCGGCUAACUCCGUGCCAGCAGCCGCGGUAAUACGGAGGAUGCGAGCGUUAUCCGGAUUUAUUGGGUUUAAAGGGUGCGUAGGCGGUCUGUUAAGUCAGCGGUAAAACUUGCGGGGCUCAACCUCGCCGAGCCGUUGAAACUGGUAGACUCGAGUGGGCGAGAAGUACGCGGAAUGCGUGGUGUAGCGGUGAAAUGCAUAGAUAUGUCACAGAACACCGAUAGCGAAAGCAGCUGCCUAAGACUUAUCUGACGCUCAGGGACGAAAGCGUGGGGAGCAAACAGGAUUAGAUACC
This 434-nucleotide ribosomal RNA is filed under the name uncultured bacterium. RNAcentral's name for it is "bacterial SSU rRNA". It matches the Rfam family "Bacterial small subunit ribosomal RNA", at positions 355 to 786 of the family's 1533-position model. The record is from RNAcentral.